RNAcentral lists this ribosomal RNA (1525 nucleotides) under metagenome. RNAcentral's name for it is "bacterial LSU rRNA". It matches the Rfam family "Archaeal large subunit ribosomal RNA", at positions 1370 to 2885 of the family's 2987-position model. The record is from RNAcentral.
UAGAAUUGUAGAUCCUGCCGGGAGUAACAGCAAAGUGGGGUUGGAAUCCCCACCGCCGAAAGGGCCAGGAUUCCUCAGCAAUGUUCGUCAACUGAGGGUUAGUCGAUCCUAAGACUCUUUGUAACUCAAACGAGUCGAAAGGGAAACCCGUUAAUAUUCGGGUACCAUAAAGAUACUCGCGGCAACGCAAGUUCUUUCUUUGACACUUUGGAGUACGCUAAGUGGAACUAUCGUUCCAUCUAACUAUAUAAUUCCAUGGAGAUGCUUAAUGCAGAGAAGUGGAAGAAAGUAGGAAUGGCCUGUCGUUUUAGUCGGGUUUGGCCGAUCUCUGGAGUCCAUGAAAAGAGGAUAGAAAUGAAUUCUUUAUGUUCGUACCGAGAUCCGACACAGGUGCCCCUUGGUGAGAAGCCUAAGGCGUGUUGGGAUACUCCAGUUAAGGGAACUCGGCAAAAUAGCUCCGUAACUUUGGGAUAAGGAGUGCGUACUGUCUUCAUUGGACGGUACGUCUCAGUAACGUGAGGGCUUCGACUGUUUAAUAAAAACACAGCUAGCUGCUAUCCUGUAAAGGUUUGUACAGCUGGUGACAUCUGCUCAGUGCCGGCACGUUGAGCCCGGUUUCAACCGGGGGAAGCGCCGGUAAACGGCGGGAGUAACAAUAACUCUCUUAAGGUAGCGUAAUACCUUGCCGCUUAAUUGGCGGCUUGCAUGAAUGGUGUAACGAGAGCCCUACUGUCCCUAACUGGAACCUAGUGAAACCACUUCCUGGUGGAUAUGCCAGGGUCCCCCGAUGGGAAGCGAAGACCCCAUGGAGUUUUACUACAGCCUGUCGUUGUCGCUGGAUUUUGAUGUAGAGCGUAGUUGGUAGCCAUCGAAGCAAUCUCGUCAGGGAUUGUGGAGGCGAAUAUGGAACACCAACCUUCUAGGUCUAAGCGACUAACCAACAUUGUUAUUGUUGGGACACCGGUAGGUAGGUAGUUUGGCUGGGGCGGUACGCCCUCGAGAAGAUAUCGAGGGCGCCCUAAGGUUGACUCAGGUGGGUCAGGAAUCCACCGUAGAGGGCAAGGCCAAAAGUCAGCCUGACUGGAUAUUGCACCACAAGAUAUCCAGAGGCGAAAGCCGGGCCUAGCGAACUCCAAUGCCUCCUUGAUGGGGGCUUGGACUAACAGAAAAACUACCCUGGGGAUAACUGAGUCGUCCGGGGCAAGAGCCCACAUCGACCCCCGGGCUUGCUACCUCGCUGUCGGUUCUUUCCAUCCUGGGUCUGCAGCAGGACCCAAGGGUGGGGUUGUUCGCCCAUUAAAGGAGAACGUGAGCUGGGUUUAGACCGUCGUGAGACAGGUUAGUUGCUAUCUAUCGGGGGUGUUGGUCGUCUGAAGGGAAGGUAGUCCCAGUACGAGAGGAACAGACUGCCGUGGCCUCUGGUGUACCAGUUGUCUGAUAAGGCAUCGCUGGGUAGCUACGCCAUAGUUAAUAAGGGCUGAAAGCAUCUAAGCCCGAAAUAACCCCUGAAAAUAGACUACCACUC